Molecule: RNA transcript, 6424 nt
Organism: Colius striatus (speckled mousebird)
Lineage: Eukaryota; Metazoa; Chordata; Aves; Coliiformes; Coliidae
Gene: SLBP
Gene name: stem-loop histone mRNA binding protein
Exons: 12
Source: RefSeq, a predicted model, not a curated record
CCGCGCUUGCGCGCUGCCGUGCCGGGGCCGUAGCCAUGUUCGGCGGUGGCGGCGGUACUCGCCUCAGCCAUGUUCGGCGCGCAGCGGGGCGCCGCGUCUGGCGGCGGCGAGCCGGGCGCGCCGCGCAGUUCUGUGCAACAUCCACACUGCUGGAAUCAAGAACAAGAGUGUAGAAGCUGGAAUGAUGCAGAUUCCUUGAUGUUAGACGACUAUCAAUGCAGGCAUUUAGACCAAUGGCUGGAGAGCUCUACAGCACCAGAACAUUCUAGGCCUCUUUCUAGUUGUCCCCACUGGGAAGAUAGAAUUGAAGAAGGCAAAACAAUGAGGACACCAAAUAAAAAAAUUACAAAUUCUGUUUUAAGUGAUUCUGCUAAUCCAGCUGAAAGGGAGACAGAUGAAGUGGUUCUGAGGAGAAGACAAAAACAAAUCAAUUUUGGGAAGAACACGCUUGCCUACGAUAGAUACAUUAAAGAAGUUCCAAAGAAUCAGCGAAUACCAGGAGUUCAUCCCAGAACUCCCAACAAAUUUAAGAAGUACAGCCGUAGGUCCUGGGACCAGCAGAUAAGGCUGUGGAAGAUAGCACUGCAUGCCUGGGAUCCUCCUACUGAAGAAACCUGGGAUCUGCAGCCAGUUAGUACAGAAGCCUCAGGCAGCUCCCAGGAAUGGUUCUGCAAAGAUGAGGAUGUUCCUGGCUGCUUUGUAUUUGACAAAAAGCAGAAGAGAAUUGAGUGUGAAGAUGAAUGCAGACAGGCUGACUACACACCAGAGAGUCCCUGUUCUCCUGAUUCUUCUCCAGUUUGGAAACGCAGAAGAAGGAACAAUUCUGACUCCUCUGUGGUUUCGAAGAGCAAAGCCCAUUAUGUGCGUAUGUACCACACACUGGAAAGUCUUAACGAUUCAGGACAACAGGAAGCUUUUCCAAAGUGCUCAGAGUGGGAAGCCUUCAGUGAAAAUGACCAAGUAAUGACAGUACAACAUGGUAUAGAAAUAACAAGUGACCCAUUUCCAGCCAGUUGUUCUUCGUCGUGGAACAAUCAGAAACAAGAAAAGCCCAACUUCUUCUUGCCUGAGAGCGAAGUUUGCAGAGAUACAGACUGCAGGCUGGAGAGGCUUAAACUUUGUAGCAGUUUAUGGGAAGGACAUCAGUCAGAGUACCCUGAAGGGGGAUGGGGAAGUGCAAGUGCUGAAGAUAGAAUAAUGAAGAAAAAAAUUUAAGUACCAAGUCUCUCUUUGUAUAUAGAAGUAUUGAAAGAGGAGGACUUUCUUCUGGAACAGACAGUGAUUUGAAGAUCAGGGAUGUAGUCCGAGAUCAGCAGAUGGAGUCAUGGAAAACUGGUGCUAUUGCUUAAGAUGUGCUCUGAAAGAGGAAGAGAUUUACAGUCAGCAUGUGUACAGUCAACAUAAGGUGAAAUGUGCAGAUUUCUCCAGAUCUUUAAGGACAGAUUAUUUUCCGCAAGCUCUGCCUCAAGCGUAAAACUUCAGAUUUCGUUAAGGCCGUGCUGCAACCACGAUGGAGAUUCCUUAAAGCUUUUGUGAGAAAUGUUUCUAUUGUACCUGCGUUGGCAGAUGACACGUGCCAUUGUAUUGUAAAGGCUACUACAGUUAAUGGAUCCUGCUGUUUGGAGAUCAUGCUACCUAGAGUGCACUAAUACUAUACUGGUGGAUUGGUCCGAUAAUGAGCCUGAAGAAUGUCACCCCUUAAACCACAGAGUUAAGCGCUGUUUCCUCUACUGGAUCAGGACUGUACAUCCAACCUGAAGAACUGCUUCAAAAGCAUGUAGAUAAUUUCAGCUUUUCUCCACUUCUUAAACUGUUCUUUUGGAUUGGGUGAUAAUCCACUUGGCUUAUUUACUGUUCUCUGAGAUAAGAUACAUUAAGCUAGUAUUUGCCUAAGCCUAGGGAUAGAAGGAAGAAGAAAGGUAGGUAGUUUAUCAAAUUGAGAUCCUUCUUUUAAGGGGACUGUAUGAACAGCAACACAGCCUAAAUACCUGGAUAUUGCUUUUAGGUGUGUUGCAGCCUGAUCUGCAGAGCCGAUCUGCUGCUAAGAGUAUGAGAGACGAGUUCAGUGCCUUUUGUUCCUACAAACAUUAGAGGUGAGCAGCAGUAUUUGCAGGUUUGGAGCUGCUGUGAGUGCGAGGUGUCUAGACAAAGGGUUGUGAUGGUGUUGAGAGAGGCUCUUCUGUGUUUUACUCUUUUUAGCGCUGUGCACAGAAGUUCAAAGUGAAGGCCGUAACUGCAGUGGAGUUUAAACCAGAUUUAUGUGCCAGUUACAAGGACAUUUUACAAUCCUUGUGGCAUUUUCUGUAACAUGGGCUGGGAUACAAAUACCUGUUAGAAGUGGGUGUUGUCUCAUGGCAGGAGUUGGGUUUGGCUUUUCACAAGGCUGCUGUGGAAAUAUGGCAGUGCUAUGGAUGCACAUAGCAGCCAUGUUGUGGGAAUCACAGCAUACCCAAGGGCUAAAAGCCCAUUAUGCUACUGAUGUGGAAGGAUCUGCUUCCCCAGAAACAACUCACAGUCCCUUCAAAAACACUAUUUCCAGGCAUGCUCAGGCAUAUGGGGUUCAGUAGUGUCCCAGCACAAGGGUGGCUCAGUUGCACACCCCAGCACACAGAGUGUGUGUGUGUACAAGGAACACAUCUGUACAGCAAUUUUUUGAGAAGUAAUACUUAGAACCUUGUUGUUCUGGUGUGCAUGCUUUCAUGUGAUUUAUGAUGGUUGUAAAUAAGGGAAUGUGUUACACUUUUGGCACUUUGUCUUUAUGCAGAAGAAUUAAAAACUUUAAAUAUCCGUGUUAAUCUGCUUUUGCUGUUAUGUUGUCAGAGGCCCAGUGUAAGAGGAUUAUAUGGGUUCAGUAGUCCCUUUUUAGUUUGUUUUAGGGUAUUUUGUUUACUUUGGGCUUUUUUUAGUCUUGCUAAAAGGGGGAAGGAAUGUGUUUUAGGGAUUAAAUCAGACCAUCAAAUUGUUUACAGUUAAGGUUGUGUCCAACUGCUCAGUUUGUAUGUUGACAUCUUGUCAUGAACUUAUAUUUAGUGCAGUGUAACCUAGUGGAAAGGAGCAGCUAAAGCCCCAGCAUCCAUUCUGCUGUGUGUCCUUCUGGAGAGGAUGGAGCUGUGAGGUGAGAAUAGGCUGUCAUGAAAUAUUUAAGCUCAGCUCUCAGAACCCUUAAGCUUUUGCCCAUGAUGAAUGGGGCUUGCAGUGGAUUUAUGGACAUAAAUCCUUGGGAUUUGUAAUUGAGCAGUCCUUAGAAGAUCUUGUAUUCCUCAGUUGAAGAUACUUAAGCUAGAAAUAGAAAAACCAAUCUGCUAGUGGCAGUUAAAUUUUGGACAGAUUUAUUCCUUAAUCCAGGUUCUGUACAUGUGGAAGAGCUAUGGUAGCACAAGGAAAGGAAUGAAAUGGAGCAGAUGAGGUUUGAGGUCUGGUAAAGGCAUUUCAUGCAGCACUGCCACUGGAUGCAGAACCAUGAUUAAGACUUCAAAUUAAUAAGUGACCUCAACAGUCUAAAUGGAGCAGUUAAAACUGGAGUGUAGUCCAAUCAUUCACUUGUUUAUCUGUCCAAGACUUACGACUGAGGUAAGCAAAGCUGAAUUCUGGCACUCUACCCCCAGAUUGUAUUUGAUAGCUUUCCAUUAAUUUUACCUAUUUUAGUAAAAUCCACUUGGAAUAAAUCUGUGCUCAGUUCAUAUUGAAGCCAAACUCUGAACUUCAUGAGCUGGGUUUAAAUUUCUUCUGAGAAACGACAUGUGUCUUCUGUUGGUAUCUUUCUUCCACUGGGAGAAUCUCCCUACAGAUGGUACAUUAUCUGUGCUCGUAGCAACAAGGCUUCACUAGGAGUUCUGAAGUGCAGUUGGUUAUGUGUAUUCUGCUUUGGUUUUAAAACUGCUCCUUUGAGGUCACAGCGGUGAGGCUACUUCUUGCUCCCUUAAAAUUCCCACUGUGGUGAGAAAAUGUUUUUCUGAAGAAUUUUCUCUGCUCACAGGGACAGAUUUAAUUCCUAAGCUGUCGCAGCAGGUAGUUCUGCUGGAUAAACUGAUGUAGUGCUUUUGCCUGGGCCAGGUUUUUGGUAGCAGGGAGGCUACAGGAGUGGCUUCUUAAAACAAAGAUCUACCAGAAGCUUCCCCUAGAGCUGAUAGGGCUAGGGCCAGUCAAUCCUAAGAUGGACUCCACAACUGACCUAGGCCUGGCCAAUUAGUGACAGAGGUAACACCUCUGUGAAUAACGGAUUUGGGAAGGGGAAGAAGUUGCUGCUCAGUUGCUGAACUGCAGCAGCAACAGGGAAUGAGAAUGUGAAAACAUCUCUGCAGACACCAAGGUCAGUGGAGAAGGAGGUGCUUAGGCCCUGAAAGAAAGACUCCCUUGUGACCUGUGGUGAAGACCAUGGUGAGGCAGCUGUGCCCCUGCAGUCCAUAAAGCCACAGGGGAGCAGAGAUCCACUCACAGCCCAUGGAGGAGCCCACGCCAGCGCAGGUUUGCUGUCAGGACUUGUGAUCCCGUGAGGGACUCUGGCUGGAGCAGUUGGUACCUGAAGGACUGUUCUCCUGGUGGAUGACCCAUGCUGGAGUAGUUUGUGAGGAACUGCAGCCCAUGGGAAGGACUCACGCUGGAGAUGUUCAUGAGGGACUGUCUCCCAUGGGAGGGACCCCACAGUAUAGCAGUGGGAAGAGUGAGGAGGCCUCCCCCUGAGAAGCAGCAACAAGGUCCAUGAACUGACUGCAACCCCCAUCCCCUGCACUGCUUGGGGGGAAGGAAGGAGGAGAGUCCUGGAGGAGGGAGGGGUGGAAGGAGGUGUUUUAAGAUUCAGUUUCAUUUCUCAUCUCACUGUUCUUAUUGUUCAUUUAAUAAUUCAAAUCUUUUUUCUCCCUGAGUCUGUUUUGCCCGUGACGCUAAUUACUGAGUGACCUUCCUGUCCUUAUCUUGACUCCCAAACCUCAUUAUAUUUCUCUCUCCUCUGUCCAAUUUAGGAGGGGGAGUGAUAUUAAGACUGGUCGAGCACUUGGCACCCAGCCAAGGCUAAAGCACCGCAACUGAAAUUAACUUGGGCGUAGUGUCAUGCAUUUCACUGAGCAUGGAGCCAGCCCAACUGUAACCCCCAAGGGCAGGAGACAACCUACAACAGAGAUCUCUGAGAAGGAAAGUCCAGCACCUCUGUACAACAUUUAGGGGAAACCCAGUGAGCUCUUCUCAAAAUACUACUCAUUUCAGCCAAGAGCACUAGGUAUGUAGACAUCCCACCCAAAAAAAAAGCACUGUUAAACAGCUAAAGCACCCUUUCCAAACACAUCCUUAGCGGUAAUCUUUGAGAUACAUACAUAUUGUGAGAACAUAGAUGCAAUUCAUACAAGUGAAACACUUUAAGUGGAGGAAAAAAAAUGUGAAAUCAUAGAAGAGUCAAGCAAAAUAAUGCCAAAAAAGCCAGCUGCUGAGGUUUCAAACUUUAAUUUCUAAAAGCAAUUGCAAAUAAUGGCCUGAAGACUCUUGAUCUGGUCUGGUGCAGUUCCCAAGGCAGGCUGGCAGGGAGCCAUUGUCUUCCCAUUACUGAACCUGUUAGUGUUGCUGGCAGUGGUUGAAUAAUGCUUGCACCUUUUUUUGUAAAAAUGAUGUGAAUUUCUCCAACUUACAAGAAGAUAAUAAGGAACAAGGUUUGUCAAUUCACCAUGAAGAGCAUCUUCAAUACGUCUGAGCAAUCCUGACUUUCACUAAGCAGGUGCUGCUUCUUGGCCUUCAAGACCAUGUGUGUAAUUCUGCAGUGAUCUCUGGUGGAAGAAAAUUCAGCUAUCUGUUUUUACUGUGGUGAUCUGAGACUCUUACUUGACCUCUACCUUGCUGUUAUGACCAGAGUUAAAAGUAGCUGCAGAUACUGUGCUGUAUGGUUUUUCACAACCUUGAAUAAAGCCCCUUUCUGUAUCUGCAAACUGAGAAGGGAGUAAGGAAGGAGCUGCUUGGUUAUUUGCCACACUUCAACUGGGAUGUUCCUAUAGGCAACUCUGUUCAACCAUCCAAGAGGGCUUAAUCAAGAAACAGGAAGAAUUUCUGCAAGUACUCAAUAGGAGCACUUCAUGAGGAAGUUGUAGUUUGUAAAAACCAUGUUUUAUUUCCAGAGUAGAGAUGCAAAUUGUCCCUCUCACUUUAUGCUUCAGCCUUGCUAUGCAUGAGGUAUCUUCAUUAAAAAAAUCAAACCAAAACACCACCUGUCAAGAUAUGCUUGAAAAGUCUCUCCAGAAACAUUGCUGGGCUGUGGCAGUCAUGUUUGUGUUUAGCUGCUCUAAAAAAAACCUCAGUAACAACUACAGACAAACUCCACUUUUGUUUGUUAUUUCAGCCAUCCAUCAAACACAUUUGGUUGCUGAUGGUUCAAGUGUUACUCAGAUACAGCCUGUCAUAGUAGUGGUUAUUAGUAGUAGUGAAGGUUCACUUCAGCCAGGUUCAU